RNAcentral lists this unclassified non-coding RNA (1463 nucleotides) under Hevea brasiliensis (rubber tree). Lineage: Eukaryota; Viridiplantae; Streptophyta; Magnoliopsida; Malpighiales; Euphorbiaceae. The record is from RNAcentral.
AAAAAACACUUCAAACUCCAGACAGAAGAGUGACUGCAGAAUCGAAAACUUGAUAAUUAUCAUCAUCUCGGAGAGUAGUAGACUUAUUCAAUUGAGAAAGUAAAGCAUAGAGAAUAUGUUUGUUUGUUUAUGUAAUAACAGUUGGGGCAGAACGACCAGUGUAUUCCUGCAUUUUCGAUAGUUUAAGAGCAACCUCCACCAGGGGAGCAAGUGCUUCCUGAGAAUCUCUACCAAUCUUGGAUGAAUCCUUCUCAUACUGCUCAAUGUACAGACGGAUAGUUGCACCCUCUGACCCUGUUCCAGAAAGACGGAACACCAGUCGUGAUCCAUCUUCAAAUAGAUAUCUUAUACCUUGAUGUUUUGAGACAGAACCAUCAACUGGGUCCUUGUACUCAAAUUCAUCAGCAUGCACCACAUUUGAAACAUCUGAACGGAUUCCCUUUAUUAACUUGUUAACUUCAUCAAUGGAAGAUUGCAGCUUCACCAAAUGAGCCAUAAGAUCCUUAGCACCAUCAGCAUUGACAUUCUCGUAGUCAUAUCGAGUGUAAUAGUGACGUCCAUAGGUUGCCCAGUGUUGGCGAACAAUAUCUUCAACAGACACAAGGUUACCUUCCCCAAGGUUGUCCUUAUUCUUAUAGGCAAGGAUAGAUAACCAAGCCAAAACAGCCCAUAUUCCAUCUUUCUCUCGAAUAUGGUCUGAGCCAGUUCCAAAACUUUCUUCUCCGCAAAUUGAACACAUUCCAGCAUCCAUCAAGUUACCAAAGAAUUUCCAACCAGUGGGUACCUCAAAAAAUUUCAAGUUCAGGUGUUUAGCAACGAUAUCAAGAGCAGCAGAUGUGGGCAUACUCCUGGCAACACCUUUCAAACCUCCAGAAAAAUAAGGAAUAGCUUGUACAGCAUUGGCAGCAAUUAUAGCUACAGAGUCGGAAGGAGUCACAAAGAAUCUUUUCCCCAGGACCAUGUUACGGUCCCCAUCUCCAUCAGCAGCUGCUCCAAAUUCUGGUGGAUUCGGUUCAGAAUGCGUUUUAGACAAUCCCAUACGUGCAACUAACUCCUUUGCAUAGGUCAGAUUGGGAUCGGGAUGCCCUCCACCAAAGUCCUCCUUGGGUACACAAUUAACUAGAGAGGUUUCAUUUGCCCCAAGCUCCUCCACAAAUAUACGCUUUGCAUGUACGCCAGCAACUCCGUGAAGUGCAUCAUAGCAGAAACUAAAUUUUGGAGAAGAGAGCAACUUCUGGAUAGCUGGGAAGUCAAAUAUUGACUUCAACAAUUUCAGAUAAUCACUAGUUGAAUCAAAAACGUCAACGUCAAAUUUCCCCUUUGGACCCUCGAAGCUCGAGACACCUGUUGUAGAUAUAAUCACAUCCGGCAGGCCCUCGGCAAUCAAGUACUCCUUUAUUAUUGUGGUAUUCUCAUAGAUCUUGUUUGUUAUACCUUCCGGAGCAGGUCCACCAUUUUCCAUG